This 501-nucleotide ribosomal RNA is filed under the name uncultured bacterium. RNAcentral's name for it is "bacterial SSU rRNA". It matches the Rfam family "Bacterial small subunit ribosomal RNA", at positions 899 to 1397 of the family's 1533-position model. The record is from RNAcentral.
ACUCAAAUGAAUUGACGGGGGCCCGCACAAGCGGUGGAGCAUGUGGUUUAAUUCGACGCAACGCGAAGAACCUUACCAGGGCUUGACAUCCUUCGAAUCUUUAAGAAAUUGGAGAGUGCCCCUUCUGGGGAGCGAAGAGACAGGUGGUGCAUGGUUGUCGUCAGCUCGUGUCGUGAGAUGUUGGGUUAAGUCCCGCAACGAGCGCAACCCCUACGGUUAGUUGCUAACGUAAAGGCGAGCACUCUAACAGAACUGCCGGUGACAAACCGGAGGAAGGUGGGGACGACGUCAAAUCAUCAUGCCCUUUAUGUCCUGGGCUACACACGUGCUACAAUGGCCGGUACAAAGGGCGGCAAAACCGCGAGGUAGAGCGAAUCCCAAAAAGCCGGUCUCAGUUCGGAUUGCAGGCUGCAACUCGCCUGCAUGAAGUCGGAAUCGCUAGUAAUCGCAGGUCAGCAUACUGCGGUGAAUACGUUCCCGGGCCUUGUACACACCGCCCGU